Molecule: non-coding RNA, 1100 nt
Organism: Prunus avium (sweet cherry)
Lineage: Eukaryota; Viridiplantae; Streptophyta; Magnoliopsida; Rosales; Rosaceae
Source: RefSeq, a predicted model, not a curated record
CUUCCGCCGAUCUUGGAUUUUUCUCCUUCCCGUUCCACUCACAGUUGACAAACUUCAAGAGCUUCUCAGGCGAAGCGAUGGCGGUGCCUCUCUUCAACCUCGCCCCCAAUCUUACCGACUCUGAGUCUGAUUCUUUGGCUCUCCCUCUCAUCCUCAAAUAUAAAUUCAUUCUUCGCUAGGACGAAGACUUUCGGCAAGAAAAACACGUUUCCGACCUCGAGCAAGCUUUCCAGGCCGGCAUCUCUGUAGAAAUGUAUCCAGUGGUUCAGCGAGCCCAGACUCAGGGGAGGAGCGAGGAGCGUCGUUUUGGCCACCAAGGUUACGGGACCGUCUGGGCAGAUGACUUGGAUACGAGAUGACCCCAAGUGUUUGCAUGCUAAGAAUAUCACCGAGGCCAUUGACGGCAGCUUAAGGCGAUUGCAGACAGAUUACAUUGGCCUGAUCGGUUUCUAUGUUCCCAUGUUUGGAGAAAUUGAGUAUGAUCCAAUCCGAAAGUUCAGUUCGAUUCCUAUAGACGAACAACUUGAUGCUCUUGGAAGAGCUGUUGAUUCUGAUUAGAUAUGUUGGUCUCAGUAACGAAACACCAUAUGGGGUGAUGAAGUUUGUUCAGGUAGCUGCUCGCCAUCCAAAGAUUGUCUCUGUGUAGGUUGUCUAUUUGAUCAUUGCACUCUCAGUCAAAUGCUUACUGUAUUGUUGCUGCUGAUUUUUGGACUAAAGCAACUUAUUGUCGAUUUGAUAGAACUCAUACAGCUUGCUCUGUCCAACUUUUGAUUCUGGGUUGGCUGAAUGCUGUCAUCAUGAGAGGUAUUCAAAGUGUUGGUUUUCAGAAAAAGUGAAUAGCUGAAUAAUUAAUUAUUUCAUCCGGUAUGAAAUGAUAAGGAAAGCUUGCUUGAUUUGUGCAUGCCAAUUUCUUGAUGAAGUUGAAGGUAUGUUACUUUUCCUAUCCUGUCCUGACUCCUGAGCAGUUCUUGAAGAAAUUCAAUUGAAUAUUCUUGCUAAUUAGUAGCUUGAAUAAUAUAAAAUUAGUAAGUGGAAUUAAAAUUCCAACAGAGAACAUGAGAGUCACUUUGGGGGAGGGCUUCUUAUCUCAACGUGCAUUU